RNAcentral lists this ribosomal RNA (253 nucleotides) under uncultured bacterium. RNAcentral's name for it is "partial 16S ribosomal RNA". It matches the Rfam family "Bacterial small subunit ribosomal RNA", at positions 524 to 776 of the family's 1533-position model. The record is from RNAcentral.
UACGGAGGGUGCGAGCGUUGUCCGGAAUCACUGGGCGUAAAGGGCGCGUAGGCGGCCUGUCGCGUCGGAUGUGAAAGCCCGGGGCUUAACCCCGGGUCUGCAUUCGAUACGGGCAGGCUAGAGUGUGGUAGGGGAGAUCGGAAUUCCUGGUGUAGCGGUGAAAUGCGCAGAUAUCAGGAGGAACACCAGUGGCGAAGGCGGCACUCUGGGCCGGUACUGACGCUGAGGAGCGAAAGCGUGGGGAGCGAACAGG